UUUUUUCCAGGUUGACCUCGGAUCAGGUAGGGAUACCCGCUGAACUUAA
RNAcentral lists this ribosomal RNA (49 nucleotides) under Aspergillus awamori. RNAcentral describes it as "partial 28S ribosomal RNA". RNAcentral also lists the same sequence under 2 other names. Lineage: Eukaryota; Fungi; Ascomycota; Eurotiomycetes; Eurotiales; Aspergillaceae. The record is from RNAcentral.